This 162-nucleotide small nuclear RNA is filed under the name Crocodylus porosus (Australian saltwater crocodile). Its description in RNAcentral is "U1 spliceosomal RNA (ENSCPRG00005009750.1)". Lineage: Eukaryota; Metazoa; Chordata; Crocodylia; Crocodylidae. The record is from RNAcentral.
AAAUGUCCAUAAGCCUAGGGAGAUACAAUGAUGGUUUUCCCCAAGAGUGAGGCUUGUCCCUUGCAUUCUGGGCAGGGUUACCCCUGAGAGUUUUCCCAAACGUGGGACACUUGACUACACAGUUGCAUAGGAAAUGGGGACUUGCUUUCUUGCUUUCCCUGG